Molecule: ribosomal RNA, 491 nt
Filed under: Doryteuthis pealeii
Lineage: Eukaryota; Metazoa; Mollusca; Cephalopoda; Myopsida; Loliginidae
Description: partial 16S ribosomal RNA
Rfam family: Bacterial large subunit ribosomal RNA
Source: RNAcentral
AACAGCUGCGGUAUUUUAACUGUACUAAGGUAGCAUAAUAAUUUGCCUUAUAAUUUGAGGCUAGAAUGAAUGGUUUGACGAAGGUUAAUCUGUCUCUAUUUUACUUUUUAGAAGUUAAUUUUCAUAGUGAAAAAGCUUGAAUUUUUUAAAGGGACGAGAAGACCCUAUUGAGCUUAUAAUUUUAUUAUUGUCAGUGUUGUUAAUUUUUAUUGGCAUUAUAUGAAUUUUAAUUGGGGUGAUUAAGGAAUAAGGUUUAUAUAUUUCAGUAACUUCCUUAGUAAUAAAUAAAUUGUUAGAUAAAGUAACCAAUANNUUAUUAGAUGUAUUGCUUAUACUAUAGUUACCAUAGGGAUAACAGCGUAAUUUAUUUAGAGAGUUCUUAUUGAAAAAUAAGAUUGCGACCUCGAUGUUGGAUUAAAGUAACCUUAAGGUGCAGAAGCUUUAUAAGGUAAAUCUGUUCGAUUUUUAAAACUUUACGUGAUCUGAGUUCA